This 71-nucleotide transfer RNA is filed under the name Candidatus Saccharimonadota bacterium. RNAcentral's name for it is "tRNA-Asp". It matches the Rfam family "tRNA". Rfam says of the family: Transfer RNA (tRNA) molecules are approximately 80 nucleotides in length. Lineage: Bacteria; Candidatus Saccharimonadota. The record is from RNAcentral.
GGUAGUAUGGUGUAGUGGUAACAUAUCGGACUGUCCAUCUGAUGCCCAGGGUUCGAUCCCCUGUACUGCCU